UAACCUGGUUGAUCCUGCCAGUUGAUCAUAUUCUUAGAUCAAAGACUAAGCCAUGCAUGUCCAAGACUAAACAAGUUGUCAGUGAAUCUGCGAAUGGCUCAAUAAACGAAUCAUAACCUAUCCGAGCUCAAUGUACAAUUGGAUAACCGUUGUAAUUCAAGGGCUAAUCAUGCAUCAAAAGGGGUUCCUUUGG
RNAcentral lists this ribosomal RNA (193 nucleotides) under uncultured eukaryote. RNAcentral describes it as "partial 18S ribosomal RNA". It matches the Rfam family "Eukaryotic small subunit ribosomal RNA", at positions 1 to 194 of the family's 1831-position model. The record is from RNAcentral.